This 531-nucleotide ribosomal RNA is filed under the name uncultured Gammaproteobacteria bacterium. RNAcentral's name for it is "bacterial SSU rRNA". It matches the Rfam family "Bacterial small subunit ribosomal RNA", at positions 532 to 1062 of the family's 1533-position model. The record is from RNAcentral. Lineage: Bacteria; Pseudomonadati; Pseudomonadota; Gammaproteobacteria.
UAGCCGUUUAAUCGAGAGUUACUGGGUGCUAAGCGCACGCAGGCGGUUUGUUAAAGUCAGAUGUGGAAUAACCGGGGUCAACCUGGGAACUGCAUCUGAUACUGGCACGCUUGAGUCUCGUAGAGGGGGGUAGAAUUCCAGGUGUACCGGUGAAAUGCGUAGAGAUCUGGAGGAAUACCGGUGGCGAAGGCGGCCCCCUGGACGAAGACUGACGCUCAGGUGCGAAAGCGUGGGGAGCAAACAGGAUUAAAUACCCUGGUAGUCCACGCCGUAAACGAUGUCUACUUGGACGUUGUGCCCUUGAGGCGUGGCUUCCGGAGCUAACGCGUUAAGUCGACCGCCUGGGGAGUACGGCCGCAAGGUUAAAACUCAAAUGAAUUGACGGGGGCCCGCACAAGCGGUGGAGCAUGUGGUUUAAUUCGAUGCAACGCGAAGAACCUUACCUGGGCUUGACAUCCACGGAAGUUUUCAGAGAUGAGAAUGUGCCUUCCGGAACCGUGAGACAGGUGCUGCAUGGCUGUCGUCAGCUCG